AAUUUAAAAAUUUAAAAAUUCAAAUUCAAAUAUAAUAAGAGAGUAAUAUUAUUAUUUUUAAUAUAUAAAAACUCACUAUUCUUUUUAUUUUAUCUUAACUAAUCAAACGCUUUUUGUUUUAUUCCUAGGAAUAACCUAAUUUUCAUCCAAACGCAAAAUUAAUCUAAUUCCCGCUUAUACCUCAAUUUAUACCUAUCCCUGUAAUAGCCACUUUUUACUUAUUUCCGAACCAAACGAUACCUUAGAAUUUUAUAAUUAAGCCGAUUAUAUAACCCAAUUCUGAUUAACUAAAUAUUGAUGCAUUAUUAAUGCAAAAAUAAUUUAGUAG
RNAcentral lists this long non-coding RNA (328 nucleotides) under Ananas comosus (pineapple). RNAcentral's name for it is "long non-coding RNA (ACOM_LNC040891)". Lineage: Eukaryota; Viridiplantae; Streptophyta; Magnoliopsida; Poales; Bromeliaceae. The record is from RNAcentral.